This 468-nucleotide ribosomal RNA is filed under the name uncultured bacterium. RNAcentral's name for it is "partial 16S ribosomal RNA". It matches the Rfam family "Bacterial small subunit ribosomal RNA", at positions 28 to 507 of the family's 1533-position model. The record is from RNAcentral.
GACGAACGCUGGCGGCGUGCUUAACACAUGCAAGUCGAACGGAAAGGCCCUGCUUUUGUGGGGUGCUCGAGUGGCGAACGGGUGAGUAACACGUGAGUAACCUGCCCUUGACUUUGGGAGAACUUCAGGAAACUGGGGCUAAUACCGGAUAGGAGCUCCUGCUGCAUGGUGGGGGUUGGAAAGUUUCGGCGGUUGGGGAUGGACUCGCGGCUUAUCAGCUUGUUGGUGGGGGGGUGGCUUACCCAGGCUUUGACGGGUAGCCGGCCUGAGAGGGUGACCGGCCACAUUGGGACUGAGAUACGGCCCAGACUCCUACGGGAGGCAGCAGUGGGGAAUAUUGCGCAAUGGGCGGAAGCCUGAUGCAGCAACGCCGCGUGCGGGAUGACGGCCUUCGGGUUGUAAACCGCUUUCGCCUGUGACGAAGCGUGAGUGACGGUAAUGGGUAAAGAAGCACCGGCUAACUACGUG